Molecule: ribosomal RNA, 512 nt
Filed under: uncultured bacterium
Lineage: Bacteria
Description: bacterial SSU rRNA
Rfam family: Bacterial small subunit ribosomal RNA
Source: RNAcentral
GAUUCUGGCUCAGAACGAACGCUGGCGGCGCGUUUAAGCAUGCAAGUCGAGCGGCAAGGGCCUUCGGGCCCCUAGAGCGGCGGACGGGUGAGUAACACGUGGACAAUCUGCCCCCCGGCCCGGGAUAGCCCAGGGAAACCUGGAUUAAUACCGGAUGAGACGGGACCCGCGAUGGCGGGACCCGGAAAGGCGCUGCGGCGCCGCCGGGGGAUGAGUCUGCGUCCCAUUAGCUAGACGGCGGGGUAACGGCCCACCGUGGCGACGAUGGGUAGCCGGCCUGAGAGGGUGGACGGCCACAUUGGAACUGAGACACGGUCCAGACUCCUACGGGAGGCAGCAGCUAAGAAGUCUUCCGCAAUGGGCGAAAGCCUGACGGAAGCGACGCCGCGUGAACGAAGAAGGCCGUGAGGUUGUAAAGUUCUUUCGGGAGGGGGAACAACCGUGGCAGGGAAUGGCCGCGGGAUGACGUGAAUCCCGGAAUAAGCCCCGGCUAACUACGUGCCAGCCGCCGC